AACGAACGCUGGCGGCAUGCCUAACACAUGCAAGUCGAACGAGACCUUCGGGUCUAGUGGCGCACGGGUGCGUAACGCGUGGGAACCUGCCCUUAGGUUCGGAAUAACUCCCCGACAGGGGUGCUAAUACCGGAUAAUGUCUUCGGACCAAAGAUUUAUCGCCUUUGGAUGGGCCCGCGUUGUAUUAGCUAGUUGGUAGGGUAAAAGCCUACCAAGGCGACGAUCCAUAGCUGGUCUGAGAGGAUGAUCAGCCACACUGGGAGUGAGACACGGCCCAGACUCCUACGGGAGGCAGCAGUGGGGAAUAUUGGACAAUGGGCGAAAGCCUGAUCCAGCAAUGCCGCGUGAGUGAUGAAGGCCUUAGGGUUGUAAAGCUCUUUUACCCGGGAUGAUAAUGACAGUACCGGGAGAAUAAGCUCCGGCUAACUCCGUG
RNAcentral lists this ribosomal RNA (433 nucleotides) under uncultured bacterium. RNAcentral describes it as "partial 16S ribosomal RNA". It matches the Rfam family "Bacterial small subunit ribosomal RNA", at positions 29 to 507 of the family's 1533-position model. The record is from RNAcentral.